RNAcentral lists this ribosomal RNA (253 nucleotides) under uncultured bacterium. RNAcentral describes it as "partial 16S ribosomal RNA". It matches the Rfam family "Bacterial small subunit ribosomal RNA", at positions 524 to 776 of the family's 1533-position model. The record is from RNAcentral.
UACGUAGGGUGCGAGCGUUGUCCGGAAUUAUUGGGCGUAAAGAGCUUGUAGGCGGUCUGUCGCGUCUGCUGUGAAAAUCCGGGGCUCAACCCCGGACUUGCAGUGGGUACGGGCGAGCUAGAGUUCGGUAGGGGAGACUGGAAUUCCUGGUGUAGCGGUGAAAUGCGCAGAUAUCAGGAGGAACACCGGUGGCGAAGGCGGGUCUCUGGGCCGAUACUGACGCUGAGGAGCGAAAGCGUGGGGAGCGAACAGG